RNAcentral lists this ribosomal RNA (200 nucleotides) under uncultured bacterium. RNAcentral's name for it is "partial 16S ribosomal RNA". It matches the Rfam family "Bacterial small subunit ribosomal RNA", at positions 29 to 257 of the family's 1533-position model. The record is from RNAcentral.
AGCGAACGCUGGCGGCAGGCCUAACACAUGCAAGUCGAACGGACCCUUCGGGGUUAGUGGCGGACGGGUGAGUAACACGUGGGAACGUGCCUUUAGGUUCGGAAUAGCUCCUGGAAACGUGUGGUAAUGCCGAAUGUGCCCUUCGGGGAAAGAUUUAUCGCCUUUAGAGCGGCCCGCGUCUGAUUAGCUAGUUGGUGAGG